RNAcentral lists this ribosomal RNA (410 nucleotides) under uncultured bacterium. RNAcentral describes it as "bacterial SSU rRNA". It matches the Rfam family "Bacterial small subunit ribosomal RNA", at positions 370 to 772 of the family's 1533-position model. The record is from RNAcentral.
AAGGGGCGCAAGCCUGAUCCAGCCAUGCCGCGUGUGUGAAGAAGGCUUUCGGGUUGUAAAGCACUUUCGGACGGAACGAAAUCGCGCGGGCGAAUACCCCGCGUGGAUGACGGUACCGUAAGAAGAAGCACCGGCUAACUACGUGCCAGCAGCCGCGGUAAUACGUAGGGUGCUAGCGUUAAUCGGAAUUACUGGGCGUAAAGCGUGCGCAGGUGGCGUCGCAAGUCAGGCGUGAAAUCCCCGAGCUUAACUUGGGAAUCGCGCUUGAAGCUACGAUGCUGGAGUGCGGCAGAGGGAGGUGGAAUUCCACGUGUAGCGGUGAAAUGCGUAGAGAUGUGGAGGAACACCGAUAGCGAAGGCAGCCUCCUGGGUCGACACUGACGCUCAUGCACGAAAGCGUGGGGAGCAUA